Molecule: non-coding RNA, 29 nt
Filed under: Mus musculus (house mouse)
Lineage: Eukaryota; Metazoa; Chordata; Mammalia; Rodentia; Muridae
Source: RNAcentral
UAACAGGCUUUAGGCUUUGUCUUUGGUUC